RNAcentral lists this ribosomal RNA (317 nucleotides) under Legionella pneumophila. RNAcentral describes it as "partial 23S ribosomal RNA". It matches the Rfam family "Bacterial large subunit ribosomal RNA", at positions 1 to 357 of the family's 2925-position model. Lineage: Bacteria; Pseudomonadati; Pseudomonadota; Gammaproteobacteria; Legionellales; Legionellaceae. The record is from RNAcentral.
GGUCAAGAAGAGAAGCGCAAACGGUGGAUGCCUUGGCAGUAAGAGGCGAAGAAGGACGUGGAAUCCUGCGAAAAGCUAUGGGGAGCUGGAAACGAGCGAUGAGCCAUAGAUGUCCGAAUGGGGGAACCCGGCUGCAGCGAUGCGGUCAUUUGCAUUUGAAUACAUAGGAUGCAAAGGCGAACUCGGGGAACUGAAACAUCUAAGUACCCGAAGGAAAAGAAAUCAAGAGAGAUUCUCCAAGUAGCGGCGAGCGAACGGGGAGGAGCCUGGCGUGAUUUAUUAUUGAACUGAGUAGAACAAUUUGGGAAAGUUGGCCG